Molecule: ribosomal RNA, 596 nt
Filed under: uncultured bacterium
Lineage: Bacteria
Description: bacterial SSU rRNA
Rfam family: Bacterial small subunit ribosomal RNA
Source: RNAcentral
UGCAAGUCGAGGGGUAACGGAAGUAGCUUGCUACUAGACGACGACCGGCGCACGGGUGAGUAACGCGUAUGUAAUCUGCCUUGUACAGAGGGAUAGCCCAGAGAAAUUUGGAUUAAUACCUCAUAGUAUUACUGGAUCGCAUGAUUUGGUAAUUAAAGCUCCGGCGGUACAAGAUGAACAUGCGUGACAUUAGCUAGUUGGUAAGGUAACGGCUUACCAAGGCUACGAUGUCUAGGGGUUCUGAGAGGAUGAUCCCCCACACUGGUACUGAGACACGGACCAGACUCCUACGGGAGGCAGCAGUGAGGAAUAUUGGUCAAUGGACGCAAGUCUGAACCAGCCAUCCCGCGUGAAGGAUGACUGCCCUAUGGGUUGUAAACUUCUUUUAUAUGCAAAUAAACCUACUUUCGUGAAAGUAGCUGAAGGUAGCAUAUGAAUAAACACCGGCUAACUCCGUGCCAGCAGCCGCGGUAAUACGGAGGGUGUAAGCGUUAUCCGGAUUUAUUGGGUUUAAAGGGUACGUAGGCGGUAAUAUAAGUCAGUGGUGAAAUCCUGCAGCUCAACUGUAGAACUGCCAUUGAAACUGUAUUACUUGA